CUGAAUCAGUAUGUUCUAUUUUGCCGGUACAGGAACUCUUAUAGUGUUUGGCACACUUUUUUCACUUAAUCCAGCCCCACGUUGACAACGUCACACCCCGGAUGCUACAAAUGACCUGACAGAGGGCAUACUCUCCUAGAGUUUUGCUCUAACUCAUGAUGCCAAAAAUCAGUUAAAUAUGCCCUCUGUGCCGGAUUGUUAUUUGGAAUACUGGGUGUGACAUUGUCGUGAUGAAGCUAUCAGAGAUGUACUUUUCUGCAGAAUGAUUUCUUGUUUCGAUGACUUUAUCAUGUAAAUGUAAAUAUGUCAGAUAUCAGCUUACUGAUUCCACCUUUCUACUCACCAUUUCUUUGGCAUUGGAAUCAGGCAGCAAGAGAUUUCAGCUUAUUGAUUUGGCAGUAUAAUUUAUUUCUUGCAUAGUGCAGAUUAAAACCAGUAUAAUUUAUUCUCUUGGUGUGCUCUCACUUACUCAUAGUCGCAUUUUCAGUUCAUUAGAGCAGCCCCUCUAGGCACGGGCGAUAUGGUUACCACGUCAAUCUCAGCAGCAAAAUGGUGAGCAAAGGGCUUCCGGCUAGUGACACAACAAUAGGAUACAGCCAUGGAUAUCACUCAGGUUCUGCUAGAUGCUCAAUCUCCAGAUGCUAACCUUCGAACAGUAGGAGAAAGCAACCUCACACAGUUCCAGGAGCAGAAGCUUUAAGCUACGCUCAACUGUCUGUGUGACUCAGAUUUGAUGCAAACCGUGUUAUAAAAAAAGACAUGUUGUAAUUUGUUCAUUUCAAAUCAAUGUCUGUUCCAAUCUAUGUGUCCUAUCACUAUUGAUUAUACUUCUAUUCUGUACAGGUACUACUUUCUCAACUUGGGUAGCAGCAACAAUAAGAUCUGAAGCUUUCUAUACAAGUACCUGCAGAUGGUUUUGCUGUGAUCUUAGUGGCAAAUUGUUGUGAUAUUCACUGAACAGAAAUGGCAGUGCUGUUGCUGGUGGUUGCCUGUGGCCCUAGUUUAGUAGUGUUACUGUUGCUAGUGGUUGCCUAUGGCCCUAGUUUAGUAGUGUUACUGUGAAUUUGGUUGAGUUGUGAGUCAAGUACUGAUGUUAAGUACUGAUGUCCCUAGUUAUCUUGCUACUGAUGUCAAGUUAGUUGUGAGUCAAGUAAUGAUGUUAAGUGAGUUAUGCAAUAACUUAUGUUGCCACUUUGUGGAAUCUUUUAGUCAUUUCAAUGUUAUUAAAAAAAUGCAUUUUUCAUUCC
Sorghum bicolor (sorghum) is the source of this 1247-nucleotide long non-coding RNA. RefSeq lists it as uncharacterized. The transcript is spliced from 2 exons. Lineage: Eukaryota; Viridiplantae; Streptophyta; Magnoliopsida; Poales; Poaceae. The record is from RefSeq and is a predicted model, not a curated record.